Long non-coding RNA from Oncorhynchus keta (chum salmon), 1957 nucleotides. RefSeq lists it as uncharacterized. The transcript has 3 exons. The record is from RefSeq and is a predicted model, not a curated record. NCBI's taxonomy places the organism in Eukaryota, Metazoa, Chordata, Actinopteri, Salmoniformes, Salmonidae.
CGGGUGGAGAGGAACCAGGCUCUGAGGGGUGGACCAGUCCUCUUUCUGGUUGUGCUGGGUAGAGGAACCAGGCUCUGAGGGGUGGACCAGUCCUCUUUCUGGUUGUGCCGGGUAGAGAGGAACCAGGCUCUGAGGGGUUGACCAGUCCUCUUCUGGUUGUGCCGGGUGGAGAGGAACCAGGCUCUGAGGGGUGGACCAGUCCUCUUUCUGGUUGUGCCGGGUAGAGAGGAACCAGGCUCUGAGGGGUUGACCAGUCCUCUUUCUGGUUGUGCCGGGUGGAGAGGAACCAGGCUCUGAGGGGUGGACCAGUCCUCUUUCUGGUUGUGCCGGGUAGAGAGGAACCAGGCUCUGAGGGGUGGACCAGUCCUCUUUCUGGUUGUGCCGGGUAGAGAGGAACCAGGCUCUGAGGGGUGGACCAGUCCUCUUUCUGGUUGUGCCGGGUAGAGAGGAACUAGGCUCUGAGGGGUGGACCAGUCCUCUUUCUGGUUGUGCCGGGUAGAGAGGAACCAGGCUCUGAGGGGUGGACCAGUCCUCUUUCUGGUUGUGCCGGGUAGAGAGGAACCAGGCUCUGAGGGGUGGACCAGUCCUCUUUCUGGUUGUGCCGGGUAGAGAGGAACCAGGCUCUGAGGGGUGGACCAGUCCUCUUUCUGGUUGUGCCGGGUAGAGAGGAACCAGGCUCUGAGGGGUGGACCAGUCCUCUUUCUGGUUGUGCCGGGUAGAGAGGAACCAGGCUCUGAGGGGUGGACCAGUCCUCUUUCUGGUUGUGCCGGGUAGAGAGGAACCAGGCUCUGAGGGGUGGACCAGUCCUCUUUCUGGUUGUGCCGGGUAGAGAGGAACUAGGCUCUGAGGGGUGGACCAGUCCUCUUUCUGGUUGUGCCGGGUAGAGAGGAACCAGGCUCUGAGGGGUGGACCAGUCCUCUUUCUGGUUGUGCCGGGUAGAGAGGAACCAGGCUCUGAGGGGUGGACCAGUCCUCUUUCUGGUUGUGCCGGGUAGAGAGGAACCAGGCUCUGAGGGGUGGACCAGUCCUCUUUCUGGUUGUACUGGGUAGAGGAACCAGGCUCUGAGGGGUGGACCAGUCCUCUUUCUGGUUGUACUGGGUAGAGGAACCAGGCUCUGAGGGGUGGACCAGUCCUCUUUCUGGUUGUGCCGGGUGGAGAGGAACCAGGCUCUGAGGGGUGGACCAGUCCUCUUUCUGGUUGUGCCGGGUAGAGAGGAACCAGGCUCUGAGGGGUGGACCAGUCCUCUUUCUGGUUGUGCCGGGUAGAGAGGAACCAGGCUCUGAGGGGUGGACCAGUCCUCUUUCUGGUUGUGCCGGGUAGAGAGGAACCAGGCUCUGAGGGGUGGACCAGUCCUCUUUCUGGUUGUGCCGGGUAGAGAGGAACCAGGCUCUGAGGGGUGGACCAGUCCUCUUUCUGGUUGUGCCGGGUAGAGAGGAACCAGGCUCUGAGGGGUGGACCAGUCCUCUUUCUGGUUGUGCCGGGUAGAGAGGAACCAGGCUCUGAGGGGUGGACCAGUCCUCUUUCUGGUUGUGCCGGGUAGAGAGGAACCAGGCUCUGAGGGGUGGACCAGUCCUCUUUCUGGUUGUGCCGGGUAGAGAGGAACCAGGCUCUGAGGGGUGGACCAGUCCUCUUUCUGGUUGUGCCGGGUAGAGAGGAACCAGGCUCUGAGGGGUGGACCAGUCCUCUUUCUGGUUGUGCCGGGUAGAGAGGAACCAGGCUCUGAGGGGUGGACCAGUCCUCUUUCUGGUUGUGCCGGGUAGAGAGGAACCAGGCUCUGAGGGGUGGACCAGUCCUCUUUCUGGUUGUGCCGGGUAGAGAGGAACCAGGCUCUGAGGGGUGGACCAGUCCUCUUUCUGGUUGUGCCGGGUAGAGAGGAACCAGGCUCUGAGGGGUGGACCAGUCCUCUUUCUGGUUGUACUGGGUAGAGAGGAACCAGGCUCUGAGGGGUGGACCAGUC